Molecule: ribosomal RNA, 253 nt
Filed under: uncultured bacterium
Lineage: Bacteria
Description: partial 16S ribosomal RNA
Rfam family: Bacterial small subunit ribosomal RNA
Source: RNAcentral
UACGUAGGGUGCAAGCGUUGUCCGGAAUUAUUGGGCGUAAAGAGCUCGUAGGCGGUCUGUCGCGUCUGCUGUGAAAACUCGGGGCUUAACCCCGAGCCUGCAGUGGGUACGGGCAGACUAGAGUGCGGUAGGGGAGACUGGAAUUCCUGGUGUAGCGGUGAAAUGCGCAGAUAUCAGGAGGAACACCGGUGGCGAAGGCAGGACUCUGGGCCAAUACUGACGCUGAGCAGCGAAAGCUUGGGGAGCAAACAGG